AUAUAUAUAUAUAUAUUAUACUAAAAUUUGGUUAAUAUAUUUCAUACUUAUUAUACAGUGGUUUUUUUUUCCUUGUGGCUUUUUACUUAUGUUGUUUAUGUUACUGAGAUUAGAAAUACUUUUUUGUAUUCUGAAUAUAUAAACAUUGUUGGAAACCAGCUUUUGAUUCUUGUCUCUGACUCCUAUGCAUUCUGUACCCGAAUGGGUUUGCUAAUGGUAGAAUGCAGCUGACAAUACAUCAUCUAGAAGUCCUCUAAAGAAAUCUGGGAAGGACAUGAGAGCUACACCUACUUUGAAGCUUCCAAGGUUUAACUUAAAUUCACUGAAUCUUCUCCAGAUGGCUAAGAACAGAUCAGUAAAUCAGAGACCUACUCAUCUGUUUAAAGAUUGUGAAGCAUGUUUCAUGGACUUAAAUGCACAAAUACACUUAUGGCAGCUGACAUGGAGAUGACCAGUGCCUAUGUGUG
Long non-coding RNA from Arvicola amphibius (Eurasian water vole), 467 nucleotides. RefSeq lists it as uncharacterized. Lineage: Eukaryota; Metazoa; Chordata; Mammalia; Rodentia; Cricetidae. The transcript has 2 exons. The record is from RefSeq and is a predicted model, not a curated record.